This 574-nucleotide long non-coding RNA is filed under the name Malus domestica (apple). RNAcentral describes it as "long non-coding RNA (MDOM_LNC013856)". The record is from RNAcentral. Lineage: Eukaryota; Viridiplantae; Streptophyta; Magnoliopsida; Rosales; Rosaceae.
AAAUAACAACUGAAUGUAAUCAAAUCAUAUUGCAAGCAUGUACAUGGUUUCAAAUCACCCCCCAACUAAGGGGGUUUAGUUCCUCAUUCUUGCAAUACAAAGAUACAUAAAAUUAGACAUUAAAAUCAAAGGAAAGAAAACACCUAAAAUGCUCCAACUUGGAAAGCAAGUGCAUCAAUGGAUCUCCCUUCCUCCUUGUUGCGGCAUGAAGCUUGUGGACAGAUUUUUGGGUGGAUUUAUGGUGUAGAAUGGAUGGGGAAUGAUAUGGAGGGGUUUAGGGUGAGUGUGGAAGAGUGUUUGAUGGUUGGAAGGUGGUGGAAAACUAGGCAAAGAGGGUGGAAGAAGGUGGAGUGGUUGUUAUGUUUUCUAGGCACUAGAAUGGUGUUUUUGGGGUGUUUUGCUUCCUAGGGUGUGUAAGGACGAAUUUCUGUGAUAAAAUGAUGAAUAUGGGGGAUUGUCCUUUGGCCAAGGGGUGUAAACAUGUAUUUAUAGGCCCCAAAAACCUUAGAAAAUAAGGUUAGGUUAAGGAUGAAAUGCAUGGCAAUUUGUGUGUGUGGUGUGCAAUGGUCCAAGG